Molecule: long non-coding RNA, 1248 nt
Filed under: Helianthus annuus (common sunflower)
Lineage: Eukaryota; Viridiplantae; Streptophyta; Magnoliopsida; Asterales; Asteraceae
Source: RNAcentral
UUUGUUUGUUGUUUUUUAUUUUGUGGAUGACGGAAAAGCUGGCAACGAUUCUUUUUUUGUUCAGCCAAUGGAGCUAUGAUGACGUUCAGGUGUAAGUGGUAUUCAUUAAAUGAUUGGAUCGAUAUUAUAGGCUUCCCAUUGCUUCAGUUUUGUUGAUCAUGGAAAACGGGUUAUCAUGAAAUCGAAGUGUUACGAAUCUCAUCUUCUUGAUACUCAUGCUCCACCUGCUAUGAAACUCAUCCUCUUCAAUUUCGCAACAUCUUUCGCUUCGAUUUGUUCAAAUCACAGGGAUUCAGCAGUUUGGCUGCUGGUAAUGAAGAGAGGAGGAGAAGCUAAAGAAAGAAUCUUUGGUUUUUCUUUUUUCUUUUUUGCUACGUAAGUCUACUCAUGCUAUUGGUAUCUAUGUUUUUUUUUUCUCUCUAACAUAUCAAAGAAAAAUACACAAUGUUUAAUAUUUUGUAGUUUUCAAAAUAACUUGAUUUAUUUUAAAUUGAAAUGUGUAUAUAUUAUUGGAGGUAUUGAUAUACUAAGAUACAAUCAGCAUUUUUUAUAUCUUUUUACAUGUAUGAAAAAUAUUACGAUGGGAGAAAUGUCUAAGGCCAGAAGGCAGAGUUCUCUUAGAACAAACGACAAAGAGAUUGAAUCGUCAGGAAAUGAUUAGUCGAGUUCUUCAUUACAAGCCUGAAGCAGAGGCUUGAGAGCAUGAGUGUAGUGGUUUUUGACAUUAAUAAAGACGGUGGAACCAUCAGUUGCGUAUUCUCUUCAAACUAAUGGCCGGCAACGUUGAGAGUUUGCUGCAUCUAAUGAUGUAAACUGAAACCAAUUUUCAUAAGCAUCAAAUAAACAAACAAGUACAUUUUAGCUGCUGCUGCUUGGAAUUUUGAAAUGAUUAAUAAUAAGGUAAAGUAAUUCAGCUGUUACUCUUAAAUUUGUUGAAAGUCAUUCAUGGUCAAACAAGGUACGCUGUUGUUGGAUUGCAUGAUAUAAUUGAAGCCGAACAUAUUUUGUUAGGUGAUAACUGUUUUUUCAAUUGGUCAAAAACGAAUUCGAGGUUAUUGGUUACGAAGCUCUAGCAAGUAGAAGUAUUAGAGUAAUAAGCUUUCCAUUUAUAUUUUCAGACCAGGAAAACGUAUUUCCUUCAUUUACUUAUCUUUUCGGUUUUGUUAGAUAUAUAGUACGAUGCUUCGUUGUAUUUUAAUCUUCAACUUCAGAUUUCCAUAAUAAGUCCAUGCGCACGGUUUCUUAAGA